Long non-coding RNA from Myiozetetes cayanensis, 8145 nucleotides. RefSeq lists it as uncharacterized. NCBI's taxonomy places the organism in Eukaryota, Metazoa, Chordata, Aves, Passeriformes, Tyrannidae. The record is from RefSeq and is a predicted model, not a curated record. The transcript has 14 exons.
CCGUGCCGCUGGGACAAGGAUGUCUGCUCCGGUACCCGCGGCUGGAAGGAGAGCGCCCUCCUCGCCUCAGCUCACCUCCCGAGUCGCCGGCCUCCUUCCCGCAGCGGGGAGUCCCCACUGCGGGGUCUCCUCCGCGUGUGCGGCGCUGCCCCGCGCUGCGCUCUGAGUGACCCUCUCAGGCACCACCGAAGUGAGUCACGGCUGUGCUCGUACUGCCGGAACUGAACUCGCUGAAGGGCAAAACGCAGGAUCUCCCCAGGCAUGAAUUUCUCACAUCACGAGCAGGGGUGCCCAGGGUUGUCAUUUCCUAUCGCGCUUUUACAUGGUCCCACACACCUGCUCCACUUCUCCAUCUUUCCUCCUGCUUUUCCUACUGUUCACUUGUUUCUUUCCUGACACCUUUGUUUCAGUUUGUGUUGUUUACUCUUUUUUUGUUCUCCUUCAUUCACAAUGAACGCCAAGGGAAGUUUCAAAAAAAAAAUCCAGUUUCUGCUUUGUGAGGAGCUUGAAGAACAGCGGGAAGAUGGUUGUGUGGAAGGGAAGUGACAGAGGGACUGAGCAGAACGGUUCAAGAAGGAGCAGAUGGAAACAGCUGCCAACAGAUGAGGACUGGAACAGAUUCAAGCCAUGCUACUUGCUGGAACUUGAGAGUUUGUGAUGGCCUGAGCUUACGGAAUGACAGGAGAGGUGCUCCAUCCCUCUGAUCAUCUUGGUGGCGCUUCCCUGGACUCACUCCAACAGGUCCAUGUCCUUCCUGUGCUAGGGGGCCCAGAACUGGAUGCAGCACUCCAGGUGGGGUCUCACCAGAGCAGAGUAGAGGGGGAGAAUCACCUCCCUUGAUCUUCUGACCACGAUUUGGGCCCUAAUGAGGGGCUUGGUCACCAGAAGAUUGCGUUGUGGUCUUGCUGUCAUCUCCUCUUCCUGUGCAUCUGCUCCACCCGCCUUCUGAUGAAAGAGGUAAGCCCAAUCUUCGUGGGAUGGAGUGUUUUCUGCACAUAGUGAAACCAAUGGGAGACCUUUACGAAGUUGGACUUUGAAGAUGCUGAGGGGGCAGUCCUGCCUUGAAAUCUCCUCUGAUCCGUGGGAGCCUGGCCUGCUCCACAAGAAUGGUCCUGAGCCUCGACACUGAUUUAUCAUCAAUCGUGACCACAAGCGCCUGGAUGUGGAAGAAAUCCCCAUGGCUGCUACCUUUUCUGUGCCUCUGGGACAGGGAAAAUCAGCAAGCUUGGAGCACAACUCUGCCACAGGAAGAAGGAGAAGCAACUGCGCUGCUCUGUUCAACACAGGGCAGCUUGCUCUUCGCAGAACAUUGAUCUUCAAGGCCACACAUGAUUAAAGGAGUCAGAGACAUUCCCUGGAAUUAACUGUUCCCUCUUUACUUUUUCUGCUUGAAAGGUAAGAGCUGUACAAAUUCCCUCUUUAAUAGUGACCUAACAGUGAAUACAAUGACUAAUCUGUCAUCACAGUAUUUAGAGCUGAUGACGAUAUCUAGAUUGGUUUUCAGUGUGUUUUUUGUUUUUAUUUUACUGUUAUGUUUAUACAAAAGCCAUAAAUCAUAGGUUGUUUCACACCGGUUGUAGCUGCUGAAUAUUCUUAUCCAGCAGAAGUGCCCUGAUGGUUACUUUCCAAUGACAACCUGCUCAGGGCUUAACAUUUUUCAGUUGCAUGGAAAGCUUUCAAGGUUACACAUAUAUACUGAAUGAAACACAGCCCACUGGUUAUUUUUAGAGAGCUCUAAACAAGAAGUAAAUCCCUGGAGCAGUGCUGCCAGAGAUGCAUAAAGUUCAAAUCCAAAUUAAAACUGCCUAUCUUUGGCCUAAAUUCCAAUAUGAACUUGAGGAAAACUGUGAUCUAUAACUUGAACUUUACGACAAAAAAUCCUUUGCAAUUAGUUUCUAAUACCUGAGAAUACAUGAGUGUGUUACAAACACCUGAAAAUUAGAAGUUGAAUGAAAAAAUGGGAACAUUUGUCCAAAAAUGUAGUACUUGGGUCUUGUAAGAUACUCUUGUAUGACUUUAAGUUUCAGUAGCUGCACUGGAAUUUGGAGAGUCUAAUUUUUUGUGAUCCCUAGUUUCAAUAUAUUUUUGUAAGACCAAGUGCUAUAAUAUAAUUGUAAAUUUUGGGGGCAGCAGAAGAAACGUGUUUAUUUACUGAUCCCUUUAAUAAUGACCUAUGAUGCCCAGGUCUUGGUUUAGAAAUCACCAAGAUAGAAUAUGGAGAAAGUAGAUCCCUUUUCAGCAACAUAUUUAUGCAAAGUAGUUGAAAGCAGUGCAACUGAAGCAUGUUCUUGAUUUCUUUGCUGAAUCAGAGCCUGUAUCUUCUUCCUGCCAAGGCAGCAAUCUAAUACCACUCCUAAAUGCACUAGUAAUUCUAGAUGCCCUAAUGAAAGUCAAGAUAACACCACAGAUUUUAUAAAUAAGGGUCUUUAUUUAGAAUACUGUUGAAAACAUUCUUGGCAAUCACAUCGUAUAAAUAUAUAAAGUUAAAGUUUGACACAACAAACCAAGCAAUAUUAAAUAUUUUUAAAUUUACCCCUUUUUGUUUUAAUUUUUGAUUUUGUUUCUUUUUUCUUUAUUUUCUUUUUUAUCCUUGUUUUUGUUUGGUUUUUUUUUUUUUUUUUUGGCAAAGCAACUCUUAUUUACAAUUAUACAAAAAGUUAAAAAAAAAUGGUCCACAACCUUAUUUUGGCCAGAACAGGACUAAUAGGAAGGAUCUGUCAUGCCACUACUGUUGUAGAUUUACAUUUUCCUCCACAUUCAAGAGCUAGGUUCCUAUUCCCCACAGCCCAGAUUAAACAUUGGCCAUUUCGUGGUAUACAAUUUUAUCUCUAGACAUAUUAAAUAACUUUAACAACCAAUAAAUAACUAUGUGUAUUUUUGAAGUGAUACAGGUUUGAAAAGUUACAUAUUUGAAGGAAUUUUGAGUGAUAUUUUAAAACUGGAAUAAGUCUUAAGAAGUCUUUUCAAUCUUAGAAGGCAGGUCUCAAGCAUGGCCAGAUGGAGCAAAUUGUUUUCAGUGCAGUCCAGCUGGACCAGCCCUUACAGCACUUGGUAGAUGGGGUUGCUGCUGCUGUUAUCCUGGGGAAGUGGGGUGCAGUUGGUGGGGGAAGGAAUUUGGGCUCCGCUAUCAUUUAGACUCACUCCUUCUGGGGGGGAACAGGGACUCCCUUCAGCAACAGUUUCCACUGGAGGCAGUAUAGGACAUGUGGAAUUAUCUGUGGAAAUCCUCUCUACAAUGCUUGAGAGGCAAUCGAGACUGGAGACAACAGAACUCUUCCCAUGCUUUGGAUCUAAAAAACAGACAGAAAGGGGCUCAGAUUAUCCAGUGGGUACUUAACAUCAGUAGGCAGUUACACAUUUGUGAGUAUGUGAAGUUUCAGAGGAAAUUAAUAUUAGUGAAGGAUGCCAAUUAUCAGAAAAGAGAGACUGUAAUUGCAAAAUGGAAGAGGCCCAACCACAAUGUGCUGCUCUGAGGCCAUGGCUUCACUUAGUCCAUAGAAAGGCAAGAUUUGAAAUCAAUCCGAAAUUUCUCCAGUUUGAAUCAAAGACUGAUAGAGUAGGAAGAAUCUUCAUGCAAAACAUGGUUAAACGCAGAAACUUAGUUACAGAGAGGAAAAUACUUUUAUCCAAAUGUUGUAUUUGCAAAAUAGGAAACGCAGCUAUAACAUAUACUCGUAUUUGCAAAUACAUCUAGAGGAAAUUCAAUGCCCCUUCAAGCAGCAACAGCUUGCUGGCUGGAAAGGCAGGUUCCUCUUUCAGCCCAGCUGGAGACAGAGCAGGCACAGGGCAGUUUGCUGCACUGCCUGCCUCUGUCUCCGUGUUCCACACUGCUGUUACGGCACGUACUCACCAUUUGGUGAUUCCGUGUAGUAGCUGCUGUCAUAGCUGUUUCUUCGGCGAGAGCUGCAAGGAGGCCCGCUGUACUCCAUCUGGAAAAGAGAGAAAUCUGAGUGAGGUCACUGCCCUUACAGAAAUCCCAAUAACCAUCUAAAUUCAUAUUUCAGUCCUUGGUCUGGGCCAUCAUUCCAGUCCUGGCUGAAAUGCCAUCAAGUUGUAGUUUCUUUGAAUGAGGAAGAACAUAACAGCUAGAAGGGGAUCCAGAAUAUUUUAUGUGGCACAGCUGUUACCACUACUGCAUCAAAUGCUGAAGCUUUACAGAUGAUAUGAGGCCUUCCAGCAUUCUGAUCAGAUACAGCCUUACAUGUAUUUUCAGUUUAGAACAGGGAGACUGAAAGGACAAUAAGGUCUUUUAGUUAGUUUUGAAGAUUUUCAAAACAUGAGUUCCUCUUAAAAAGCCUCUGUCUACCCUUGUUCCUUUGUAUUGCCUUUAGUUUCUUUUCCCAUUUCCAUUUUGUACAGAAAAAGCUCCAAAACACUGACCAAUAUGUCUGUUUCCAUUACUUGAAUCCCCAGUGAAAUUACUCUUUCUGUUAAAAGAGGGAUCAUUUGUGUAAAUCUUUUUUUCAACCUGUCAACUAUCUCAUAAUCACAGAUAUUCAACUCAGUAAUGAUUAUUUCCACCAGAGCACAGAAAACAAUCUCCAGUUUUAAAAUGCUGUUGAUAUCCCAUCCAGACAUCUGUCCUGCACUCCAGUCACUGUGUCCCACACCCCACAGUCAGACCAGAGUUGGAACCUAUAGUCCCAGUCAAAAGAUAUGAUGAUGAGACACCCUCUUGGGCCCUCACCCUUCUUCUCCCAUUCCCAUUAGGUACAAACACCACUGAAAGCCUGGAUUCUCCUUCCCAUUGCUAGUAAAUGUCUAUGGAGGGGAUGAAGUGAGUGAGAAGAGAAAUAGAGAACAUUUUUCUUACGGGUCAAGAGAAACAAGUCCUGUUGCUUAGACCCUCCUCCUGCUAUCCUGAUGAAAGGCAGAAAACAAGAUUCCCGUGUAGCUACUAUGUCCAGGAGGGCCCUUCUUCUCUGCUUUGAAUCCAUAGAGGAUUCAAAGAUAACGAUACAGCAGAAGAUGGACACAAGAGAUGCCUUAGGAGAUACAAGAGCACAGGCAGGGCUCAGACCUCACCAUGCCCCCAGGUACCCAUCCCAGGCAACUUCCUAAAGUGCUUUCCAAAGUCCCCAGGACACAGGGGGACCUGCUUAACUUCUUAUCCCAGGGAAAAAAGUGUGUAAAAGAUUUUUCCUGUUACCCUGAGAUUGUGGGAUGUGGGAACCCCACCUCCCUUUGCUGUGGGAGUUCAAGGCAUGAGAAAGGGCUUUGUCUUCUGCCUGGAGAGGUACAGAAGGCAGCUGCUAUAGGAAAGGCAGGAAGAGACAUGCCCUGCUCAGGUUUGGACUGACAGUGUUCAGGGCACCUUGGUGGCAGGGAGUCCUCCCUGGGGCACUCACCAUGCCGUCGGAGCAGUUGGAGCGGGGGCUGGAGGCAUCCGAUUCCCCGCUGUAGUGCUCCAGCACAGGGUAAUAAGUGUCCUCCUGUUCCCGCAGCAGGGCCUGCAGGCUCUCGAUGUAGCGGAUGGCGUUGCGCAGGAUCUCCACCUUGGGCAGGCGCUGGUUGGGGUUGGUGGAGGUGCAGCGCUUGAGGGUCUCAAAGGCCUCGUUGACCUUGCUGAGCCGCCGCCGCUCCCUCAUGGUGGCGGCCUUGCGGCGGUCGGCGUUGGUGGUCUUCCUCUUGCAAGCCUUGCACGCCCACAGCAGGCAGCGGCCAGCCUGGUGGUGCCCGCUGGGUGCCCGAACAUGCUCCUCCUCAUGCCCGUGGUGAUGCCCGUGGUGGUGCGGGUGCUCCUCGGGCUUCAGAAGACCCCCCACGUGCACCAGCCUGGGGUCCAGGUCCUCGAAGAAGUGCAUGUCUGAUGUGUUGAAGCACGGGUCAUCGUAGAAGUCAUCAGCAGUCGUGAAGGAGCAGAGGGAGCCCUCCGUCAUCUCCAUGGGGCCCAUUAUAAAUAUCAACUCUUUCAAAAUCAAUGGCAAAGCUCUGUCUUCAGUGGGGCAAGGACUGACAGAAUCUGAAAAGGUGAUUGAAAAGGAAGAUGGGAAGUCAGAGGCAGAUUGUACUUACGCUGAGAAGCAUGGACAGACUCACCUUAUACAUAACAGACAGGCAGAGCGUCCAGAAUGUGAUUUUGGAAAAGGGAAAGACCUAAAUUAUGAGAAUCUGUGGAUACAUUUGGCUAGAAGAUGAAUAUGAGAAGCCUGAGAAACAGACACGGUAGUAUUUCACAGAAAAAUAAGAGAGCUUGAUGCAAGAAGAACUUUGAAAUAUUUGGUAGAGCCACAUGCGACUGAUCAAAAUAUUCACCCUAAGCACACAAAACAAGAGCAUUAAGAUUUGCUGGAGAUGGGACUCACUUGCAGAACAACCUGGCUUUUUAGAACUUUGGAGACCUUAAUUCAAAGGUCACAAAUUUCUACAAUAAAUGAAGAUAGUCAAGAUUCAGUGUUUUACCAUCAGUUCUUCAGUGCAAGUGAGAGGCAUGACUUCAAGUGGAGCACAAGUUAACACAUCUACUUAACUGUUAAGGCUUAGCAGGUAGAGGGUUUACUGCAUACUUAAGUUUUUAUUGAACUAAUACUUGACACCAAGCUCAAUUGAAGGAUCUUGGAGAUAUAUUCAAUACAGUUUACUGCUUCCCAGUGGAUGCUUAGCAUCAGAAGCCUGUGCCAUCUGAAAUCAGUGAUGCAGGUAAUGACUUCCAGGCAAUGUAAACUUCAGUAAGUGCUCCAGGUGGCCCUUGAGGGAACAUUAGACCUACCUCUUUGAGAAUGGCAUUGCCCUUGGUCCUGUUGAUGUAUGCUCGUGAUCUGGACUCCAGGAUUCAAGCAAGGCUGAGGGACAGAUAUUGUCAGGCAACGCAAGUGGUAAGAAGCUGGAUCAUCUUUCUUCAUCUGCUCACUGCCUUCACAGAAUUUGAAAGUGUGACGAAGUAUUUCAUCCCUUUACAGGAUUAGGGAUGCGGAUUUGCCUCUCUCAGAGGUGCUGCUGGUUGGUUCACUGCCUGAUAGAGGGUGUCUCUAAGACCUGAGGUAACCUGAAGCAUACACUUUCUCAGGAGGUCUGCAGCUGGGCUGGAGAACUGCAAACGUUCAUCCUUUCACUCCUGUCAUCUGCUUCCACAUGACUGCAGUGCCUGUGCUGUGCUCUCAGCUCACUCACCCUGAAACGCUCCUUGUGGUGGUUUGUACUGGGCUGCUACAGAGCAGACUUUGCUUUUGGUGGCAGUAUCCCUUGUUGCUGUGUCAUUUAUAGAGAAGACAGCUUCAUCCUUGCCUUUAUUCCACUGGGACCAGCUGCUCUACCUAGAGGAACCAAAAGUGGCAAAUAUCCUAUAUGCUCUUUCAAUUUUCUAUUGAAAGUCUGCAUCACAUGAACUUCUCAAGGUUUUCUGAGAGGUAAAGCUUUUUUAUUUUUUUAGAAACAAAAAAACCACCAAAACAACCAAAACCACAAACCAGAAACCAACCUAAAACCAACAAAACCAAAACCUACCAAAAGAAAGAAAAAAAUAAAAAUCAAACCCAAGCUGGAGAAACAGCUGCAUCGUGUGGCUGAUUUAGUGCAUGGGAGUACAAAGCAUUCCCACUCUGGUCUUGCACAUCCACUCAUUGUGCCUAUUAAUAGCUGUUAGGCAUGAGUGUAGAUACAGAGAUGGGCAGGACUAGUUCUGCCAUGUGAACAUUUAUCUGGUGGCCCCAUCCUAUUUGCUAGAACCAGAGAUUUCACUGUGAUAAAGUGGACAUCUUAAAUCAUUUUUGGACGACAGGGGGAUGUAAGGUCACUUAAACUAAGCUGGUAUUAGGCAUUCUCAUAUCUUGGAGUAUUCCAGUAAAUAGCAAUUUAUAUAAGCAAUGGAAAUAUGUCCUUCUUAAUCUGUAAAAAGAAAAGGACAAUCUUAAUGAUCUAUCAGUGCUUCAAAUCAUCUUAAGGCAUAUUGAUCCUGAAUCAUCACGGGGAAAUUCAGCAGGUGUGUUUUGGUUAGUGAUCUAGGAAUUUAGAUGUGGUUGACUAUAUGGAAAAUUGUAUCCAGUUGUAUUUAUUACUGUAAAAAAUGAUACCAACUCUCUCUUCCUACAGGCUUUAUCUCCUCUGUUCAUAGUGUUGGCAUUUUAUUUUUUAAUUUUGUUUUAAACUGAGAAACAAUGCAUACUGUAAGGUUGUAAGAUGCUUUUAUGAAUAUACCAUUUAAAAAGA